GAGACUCUGUGCGCGUGCAUAUCAAUAAGCGGAGGAAAAGAAACUAACAAGGAUUCCCCUAGUAACGGCGAGUGAAGCGGGAAGAGCUCAAAUUUGAAAUCUUAAAGGGUUCUCCCUUUACGAAUUGUAGUUUAAAGAAGUGUUUUCUGUUGGAGUUUCGGUAAAAGUUCUUUGGAAUAGGACAUCAUAGAGGGUGAGAAUCCCGUAUUUGACCGUUACUUUCCUAGCUGUGUGAUACACUUUCAACGAGUCGGAUUGUUUGGGAAUGCAGUCCAAAAUGGGUGGUAAAUUUCAUCUAAAGCUAAAUAUUGGCGAGAGACCGAUAGCGAACAAGUACCGUGAGGGAAAGAUGAAAAGAACUUUGAAAAGAGAGUUAAACAGUACGUGAAAUUGUCAAAAGGGAAGCGUUUGACACCAGUGUUGUUUAGUUGAAAAUCAAUUCAAUAGUUUUGAUUCUAAGUAGUAUUGACUUCAUCAGCUUGCUGCUUUCUUCUCAGGAAUUAUUGAAUGCACUUUUCAGUUAACAAGUCAACAUCAAUUUCUUUUGUUGUAAAAGGGUAAGAGGAAGGUGGCUUACGCUUCGGCGUCAAGUGUUUAUAGCCUUUUAUCCUCUGCAAUCGGAGAGAUUGAGGUACAUGCAGCGUAGACUCCUUCGGGGUUAGAUACACUUGGUGCUAAGCUAUAGCCUUGUAUAGACAACUUGUUGACUAUGCUCAGUCAUGUAGCUUACUCGCUUGAUGCUAUUUUACCUACGCUUAGGAUGUUGAAGUCAUCGUAUCGCGC
RNAcentral lists this ribosomal RNA (783 nucleotides) under uncultured Neocallimastigales. RNAcentral describes it as "partial large subunit ribosomal RNA". It matches the Rfam family "Eukaryotic large subunit ribosomal RNA", at positions 23 to 645 of the family's 3401-position model. Lineage: Eukaryota; Fungi; Neocallimastigomycota; Neocallimastigomycetes; Neocallimastigales. The record is from RNAcentral.